GACGAACGCUGGCGGCGUGCUUAACACAUGCAAGUCGAACGAUGAAGAAGGGAAACGCGAACUUCGGUUCAAAUUUCAAUUCGGAUUAGUGGCAGACGGGUGAGUAACGCGUGAGCAACCUACCUCUUACAAAGGGAUAGCCUCGGGAAACCGUGAUUAAUACCAUAUGACACAUUCAUAAGGCAUCUUAAGAAUGUUAAAGCUACGGCGGUAAGAGAUGGGCUCGCGUCCCAUUAGCUAGUUGGUGAGGUAACGGCCCACCAAGGCGACGAUGGGUAACCGGCCUGAGAGGGUGAACGGUCACAUUGGAACUGAGACACGGUCCAAACUCCUACGGGAGGCAGCAGUGGGGAAUAUUGCACAAUGGAGGGAACUCUGAUGCAGCGACGCCGCGUGAGCGAUGAAGGAAUUCGUUUCGUAAAGCUCUGUUCUAUGGGAAGAAAAGAACUGUACCAUAGGAGAAAGCCCCGGCUAAAUACGUG
RNAcentral lists this ribosomal RNA (482 nucleotides) under uncultured bacterium. RNAcentral's name for it is "partial 16S ribosomal RNA". It matches the Rfam family "Bacterial small subunit ribosomal RNA", at positions 28 to 507 of the family's 1533-position model. The record is from RNAcentral.